This 502-nucleotide ribosomal RNA is filed under the name uncultured bacterium. RNAcentral describes it as "partial 16S ribosomal RNA". It matches the Rfam family "Bacterial small subunit ribosomal RNA", at positions 28 to 507 of the family's 1533-position model. The record is from RNAcentral.
GACGAACGCUGGCGGCGUGCUUAACACAUGCAAGUCGAACGGUGAAGGGGCCUGCUUUUGUGGGCCCUGGAUGAGUGGCGAACGGGUGAGUAACACGUGAGUAACCUGCCCCCUUCUUCUGGAUAACCGCAUGAAAGUGUGGCUAAUACGGGAUAUUCUGGGUCUGUCGCAUGAUGGGUCUGGGAAAGAUUGCGCCUUUGGGUGUUUUUGGUGGGGGAUGGGCUCGCGGCCUAUCAGCUUGUUGGUGGGGUGAUGGCCUACCAAGGCGGUGACGGGUAGCCGGCCUGAGAGGGUGGACGGUCACACUGGGACUGAGACACGGCCCAGACUCCUACGGGAGGCAGCAGUGGGGAAGAUUGCACAAUGGGCGCAAGCCUGAUGCAGCGACGCCGCGUGAGGGAUGGAGGCCUUCGGGUUGUAAACCUCUUUCGCCAGUGAAGCAGGCCUGCUCCGUGUGGGUGGGUUGACGGUAGCUGGAUAAGAAGCGCCGGCUAACUACGUG